Sinocyclocheilus grahami is the source of this 234-nucleotide long non-coding RNA. RefSeq lists it as uncharacterized. The transcript is spliced from 3 exons. Lineage: Eukaryota; Metazoa; Chordata; Actinopteri; Cypriniformes; Cyprinidae. The record is from RefSeq and is a predicted model, not a curated record.
UGACAUUGACAUCCCCUGCUCAAGCUGUCGCUUGACUUAUUGCCCGACUUUCCCUGGCUUACUUGCAUAUAUUAUUGUUUAAUUUGCAUCUACAACAAUCACUAGAUGCCUUGUACCGGAAUGGGAUGCAGUGAUCCGUGGCUCUCAUCUCAUCUUUACACGGGUCAUUCUUUUGGACUGGCACUAUUAUGAAUGCAGUCUCUAUGAAGCUGACGUAUACAUGGUCAUUCUCCC